This 73-nucleotide transfer RNA is filed under the name Candidatus Parcubacteria bacterium. RNAcentral's name for it is "tRNA-Arg". It matches the Rfam family "tRNA". Rfam says of the family: Transfer RNA (tRNA) molecules are approximately 80 nucleotides in length. Their secondary structure includes four short double-helical elements and three loops (D, anti-codon, and T loops). Further hydrogen bonds mediate the characteristic L-shaped molecular structure. tRNAs have two regions of fundamental functional importance: the anti-codon, which is responsible for specific mRNA codon recognition, and the 3' end, to which the tRNAs corresponding amino acid is attached (by aminoacyl-tRNA synthetases). tRNAs cope with the degeneracy of the genetic code in two manners: having more than one tRNA (with a specific anti-codon) for a particular amino acid; and 'wobble' base-pairing, i.e. permitting non-standard base-pairing at the 3rd anti-codon position. The record is from RNAcentral. RNAcentral also lists the same sequence under 1 other name. Lineage: Bacteria; Candidatus Parcubacteria.
GUCCCUGUAGUUUAAUGGAUAAAACGCGGGCUUGCGGAGCCCGAAACUGCAGGUUCGAAUCCUGCCAGGGACG